UACGAAGGGGGCUAGCGUUGUUCGGAUUUACUGGGCGUAACGCGCACGUAGGCGGAUCGUUAAGUCGGGGGUGAAAUCCUGGAGCUCAACUCCAGAACUGCCUUCGAUACUGGCGAUCUUGAGUCCGGAAGAGGUGAGUGGAACUCCUAGUGUAGAGGUGGAAUUCGUAGAUAUUAGGAAGAACACCAGUGGCGAAGGCGGCUCACUGGUCCGGUACUGACGCUGAGGCGCGAAAGCGUGGGGAGCGAACAGG
This 253-nucleotide ribosomal RNA is filed under the name uncultured bacterium. Its description in RNAcentral is "partial 16S ribosomal RNA". It matches the Rfam family "Bacterial small subunit ribosomal RNA", at positions 524 to 776 of the family's 1533-position model. The record is from RNAcentral.